This 203-nucleotide long non-coding RNA is filed under the name Gossypium barbadense (sea-island cotton). RNAcentral describes it as "long non-coding RNA (GBAR_LNC005041)". The record is from RNAcentral. Lineage: Eukaryota; Viridiplantae; Streptophyta; Magnoliopsida; Malvales; Malvaceae.
ACGGUUAGCCGUUUGGAGUCUCAAGGUAAUCUGCCAUCCCAAAUUGAGCCAAACCCUCGACACAAUACAAGCACUAUGAAAUUGAGGAGUAGGAAGGUUUUAGAGCCUGUACCUGACAUGAGUCGCAGCCACGACACUAGUCUUGUCCACGACACUAGUCAAGAUAGGGAGAAACUUGACACGAAGGCUCCAGUAGAGUAAGC